AGAGUUUGAUCCUGGCUCAGAACGAACGCUGACGGCGGGCCUCAUACAUGCAAGUCGAACGAGAAAGCCCUUCGGGGUGAGUACAGUGGCGCACGGGUGCGUAACGCGUGGGUAAUCUACCUUUUGGAUGGGAAUAACUAGGGGAAACCUUAGCUAAUGCCCAGUAAGCUCUUUUUUUCAUAAAGAUUUUAAGAGGAUAGGUGGCGCAAGCUACCGCCGAAAGAUGAGCCUGCGUCCCAUUAGCUUGUUGGUAAGGUAAAAGCUUACCAAGGCGACGAUGGGUAGCUGGUCUGAGAGGAUGAUCAGCCACACUGGAACUGAAACACGGUCCAGACUCCUACGGGAGGCAGCAGUAGGGAAUAUUGCGCAAUGGGGGAAACCCUGACGCAGCCACGCCGUGUGUGUGAAGAAGGCCUUCGGGUUGUAAAGCACUGUCGCUAGGGAAGAAUAAUAAUCGGGGAAAGUUCGGUUAUUUUGACGGUACCCAGUAAGGAAGCACCGGCUAACUCUGUGCCAGCAGCCGCGGUAAUACAGAGGGUGCAAGCGUUGUUCGGAAUUACUGGGCGUAAGGAGUUCGUAGGUGGUAUCGAGAGUCAUAGGUGAAAUCCCCAAGCUCAACUUGGGAACUGCCUCUGAGACCUCGGUACUAGAGUGCGGAAGGGGCUAGUGGAAUUCCAUGUGUAGCGGUGAAAUGCGUAGAUAUAUGGAGGAACUCCGGUGGCGAAGGCGACUGGCUGGUCCGUAACUGACACUGAGGAACGAAAGCGUGGGUAGCAAACAGGAUUAGAUACCCUGGUAGUCCACGCCGUAAACGAUGCAUACUAGGUGUUGCUGGGAUUGACUCCGGCAGUGCCGCAGCUAACGCAUUAAGUAUGCCGCCUGGGGAGUACGGUCGCAAGACUAAAACUCAAAGGAAUUGACGGGGGCCCGCACAAGCGGUGGAUUAUGUGGUUUAAUUCGAAGCAACGCGCAGAACCUUACCUGGGUUUGACAUCCUCUGACAGCUCUAGAGAUAGAGUCUUCCUUCGGGACAGAGUGACAGGUGCUGCAUGGCUGUCGUCAGCUCGUGUUGUGAAAUGUUGGGUUAAGUCCCGCAACGAGCGCAACCCCUAAGAUUAGUUGCCAGCAUUAAGUUGGGCACUCUAAUUUGACUGCCGGCGUUAAGCCGGAGGAAGGUGGGGAUGACGUCAAGUCCUCAUGGCCCUUACGCCCAGGGCUACACACGUAAUACAAUGGGUAGGACAAAGGGAAGCCAACCAGCAAUGGGGAGCCAAUCUCAAAAACCUGCCCUCAGUUCGGAUUGGAGGCUGCAAUUCGCCUCCAUGAAGGUGGAAUCGCUAGUAAUCGUAGAUCAGCACGCUACGGUGAAUACGUUCCCGGGCCUUGUACACACCGCCCGUCACACCACGGGAGUUGACUCAACCAGAAGUCGUCUUUGGCGCCGAAGGUGGGGUUGAUGACUGGGGUGAAGUCGUAACAAGGUAGCCGUACUAGUACGGUA
This 1501-nucleotide ribosomal RNA is filed under the name metagenome. RNAcentral describes it as "bacterial SSU rRNA". It matches the Rfam family "Bacterial small subunit ribosomal RNA". The record is from RNAcentral.